RNAcentral lists this ribosomal RNA (497 nucleotides) under uncultured bacterium. RNAcentral describes it as "partial 16S ribosomal RNA". It matches the Rfam family "Bacterial small subunit ribosomal RNA", at positions 28 to 507 of the family's 1533-position model. The record is from RNAcentral.
GAUGAACGCUGGCGGCGUGCCUAAUACAUGCAAGUCGAGCGAACAGACGAGGAGCUUGCUCCUCUGACGUUAGCGGCGGACGGGUGAGUAACACGUGGAUAACCUACCUAUAAGACUGGGAUAACUUCGGGAAACCGGAGCUAAUACCGGAUAAUAUAUUGAACCGCAUGGUUCAAUAGUGAAAGACGGUUUUGCUGUCACUUAUAGAUGGAUCCGCGCCGCAUUAGCUAGUUGGUAAGGUAACGGCUUACCAAGGCAACGAUGCGUAGCCGACCUGAGAGGGUGAUCGGCCACACGGGAGCGGAGCCACGGUCCAGACUCCUACGGGAGGCAGCAGUAGGGAAUCUUCCGCAAUGGGGGAAAGCCUGACGGAGCAACGCGGCGUGAGUGAUGAAGGUCUUCGGAUCGUAAAAAUCUGUUAUUAGGGAAGAACAAAUGUGUAAGUAAAUAUGCACGUCUUGACGGUACCUAAUCAGAAAGCAACGGCUAACUACGUG